CCUACGGGUGGCAGCAGUGGGGAAUAUUGGACAAUGGGCGAAAGCCUGAUCCAGCCAUGCCGCGUGUGUGAAGAAGGCCUUCGGGUUGUAAAGCACUUUCAGUGGGGAAGAAAGCCUUGGGGCUAAUACCCUCGAGGAAGGACAUCACCCACAGAAGAAGCACCGGCUAACUCCGUGCCAGCAGCCGCGGUAAUACGGAGGGUGCGAGCGUUAAUCGGAAUUACUGGGCGUAAAGCGCGCGUAGGCGGUCUGAUAAGCCGGUUGUGAAAGCCCCGGGCUCAACCUGGGAACGGCAUCCGGAAUGUGCGGGCAAAGGGGCAGGAGAGAAGGGAAAAAGGCCGGGGGGAGGGGUGAAAGGCGAAGCGACCGGGAGGAAGACAGGGGGAGAAGGAGGCCUUCAGGACUGAAACUGACGAGGAGGUGGGAAAGCGUGGGUAGCAAACAGGUUCAGAGACCCUGUUAUUC
Molecule: ribosomal RNA, 465 nt
Filed under: Vreelandella stevensii
Lineage: Bacteria; Pseudomonadati; Pseudomonadota; Gammaproteobacteria; Oceanospirillales; Halomonadaceae
Description: partial 16S ribosomal RNA
Rfam family: Bacterial small subunit ribosomal RNA
Source: RNAcentral